Molecule: long non-coding RNA, 495 nt
Organism: Puntigrus tetrazona (Sumatra barb)
Lineage: Eukaryota; Metazoa; Chordata; Actinopteri; Cypriniformes; Cyprinidae
Exons: 3
Source: RefSeq, a predicted model, not a curated record
AGACCAUUGACACUGACAAGACCCUUAUCACUGAGUCACUGAGAUGGCGCAAACAAGAUUUACAUUAAUCACACUUACGUGUGUUUUGUUCUGUGAACAUCAGAGAGCGUUUGGGACUGAAGUGAACAUAAGAGUUAAAUCAGGAGACAAUAUCACUCUGUACUGUGACUGUGUCAUACCAUUUGGAUCACACGUUGUUUGGUGGAGAGACUGCUCACAUGAGCAUCAGCCUUCUCUUUUAAUAGAUCAUUUAAAUAUAUUCAGGUAUAUGUCAUCACAUUUUAGUUUUAUGAUUAACACAUCCAGUAACUCCUAUGAUCUACGUAUUUCAAACGUCAGUGUCUCUGAUGAGGGAAUAUACUACUGUGGCAAAGGAGGAAAGAAAAUAAAUACAAAUAAAGAGGGCUUCGUAAAUUCCAAAUAUGCAUAUGAAUAUGGAAACAGGACAACUUGUUUAUCUGUCUUAGAACCAGUGUCUGCUGAUGCGGGCGCUUC